This 208-nucleotide unclassified non-coding RNA is filed under the name uncultured fungus. Its description in RNAcentral is "sequence contains ITS2". The record is from RNAcentral. Lineage: Eukaryota; Fungi.
AAUUCUCAACCUUGCAAGCUUGCUUGCGAGGCUUGGAUGUGAGGGUUUUUGCUGGCUUCCUUUAGUUGGAUGGUCUGCUCCCUUUAAAUUUAUUAGUGGGAUCCUUUGUGGAUGGUCACUUGGUGUGAUAAUUAUCUACGCCGUCUGACUCUGAAACAAGACUUGUGGGGACCUGCUUAUAACUGUCUCUUCGGAGACAAUCUUGACA